UCGGAUUUUUGACAACAAGUCGAUCUCAUUUCUCCCUGAAAAUGUCGAUGUUGCUCAAAAGUCGAUCUCAUCUUUUCCUGAGGAUGUCGAUGUCGUGUGUCUGCUGAUUCUAUCCUUUUCUGAAGAUGUCGGAUUUUUGACAACAAGUCGAUCUCAUUUCUCCCUGGAAAUGUCGAUGUUGCUCAAAAGUCGAUCUCAUCUUU
This 203-nucleotide long non-coding RNA is filed under the name Zostera marina. Its description in RNAcentral is "long non-coding RNA (ZMAR_LNC003105)". The record is from RNAcentral. Lineage: Eukaryota; Viridiplantae; Streptophyta; Magnoliopsida; Alismatales; Zosteraceae.